This 527-nucleotide ribosomal RNA is filed under the name uncultured bacterium. Its description in RNAcentral is "bacterial SSU rRNA". It matches the Rfam family "Bacterial small subunit ribosomal RNA", at positions 524 to 1050 of the family's 1533-position model. The record is from RNAcentral.
UACGUAGGGGGCGAGCGUUGUCCGGAAUGAUUGGGCGUAAAGGGCGCGUAGGCGGCCAUGCAAGUCUGGAGUGGAAGUCCAUCUUUCAAGGGUGGAAUUGCUUUGGAAACUGUGUGGCUGGAGUGCAGGAGAGGUUAUCGGAAUUCCCGGUGUAGCGGUGAAAUGCGUAGAGAUCGGGAGGAACAUCAGUGGCGAAGGCGGGUAACUGGACUGCAACUGACGCUGAGGCGCGAAAGUGUGGGGAGCAAACAGGAUUAGAUACCCUGGUAGUCCACACCGUAAACGAUGAAUGCUAGGUGUAGGUGGUAUCGACCCCAUCUGUGCCGUAGUAAACACAAUAAGCAUUCCGCCUGGGGAGUACGGUCGCAAGAUUAAAACUCAAAGGAAUUGACGGGGGCCCGCACAAGCAGCGGAGCAUGUGGUUUAAUUCGAAGCAACGCGAAGAACCUUACCAGGUCUUGACAUCCAGUAAAGCCUGUAGAGAUACAGAUUCCCUUCGGGGGUACUGAGACAGGUGGUGCAUGGUU